RNAcentral lists this ribosomal RNA (253 nucleotides) under uncultured bacterium. RNAcentral's name for it is "partial 16S ribosomal RNA". It matches the Rfam family "Bacterial small subunit ribosomal RNA", at positions 524 to 776 of the family's 1533-position model. The record is from RNAcentral.
UACGUAGGGUGCGAGCGUUACUCGGAAUCACUGGGCGUAAAGGGUGCGUAGGCGGGUCUUUAAGUCAGGGGUGAAAUCCUGGAGCUCAACUCCAGAACUGCCUUUAAAACUGCAUCGCUUGAAUCCAGGAGAGGUGAGUGGAAUUCCGAGUGUAGAGGUGAAAUUCGUAGAUAUUCGGAAGAACACCAGUGGCGAAGGCGGCUCACUGGACUGGUAUUGACGCUGAGGUGCGAAAGCGUGGGGAGCAAACAGG